GAUGAACGCUGGCGGCGUGCCUAAUACAUGCAAGUCGAACGAGGUGCUUUUGUAGCAAUACGAGAGUAUCCUAGUGGCGAACGGGUGAGUAACGCGUUGGUGACCUACCCCAAAGUGUGGGAUAACAGUCCGAAAGGAUUGCUAAUACCGCAUGUGGUCAUUGGAUUUAGAAACUGAUGACUAAAGGAGCAAUUCGCUUUGGGAGGGACCUGCGUCCCAUCAGCUAGUUGGUGAGGUAAUGGCUCACCAAGGCGACGACGGGUAGGGGACCUGAGAGGGUGGCCCCCCACAAUGGAACUGAAACACGGUCCAUACACCUACGGGUGGCAGCAGUAGGGAAUAUUGCACAAUGGGCGAAAGCCUGAUGCAGCAACGCCGCGUGUGUGAUGAAGGCCUUCGGGUCGUAAAGCACUUUUCUGGGAGAUGAGAAAGGACAGUAUCCCAGGAAUAAGUCUCGGCUAACUACGUGCCAGCAGCCGCGGUAAAACGUAGGAGGCAAGCGUUAUCCGGAUUCACUGGGCGUAAAGCGCGUGCAGGUGGCGCGGUAAGUUGGGUGUGAAAUCUCCCGGCUCAACUGGGAGAGGUCAUUCAAUACUACCGUGCUUGAGAGCAGAAGAGGAAGAUGGAAUUCCCGGUGUAGUGGUGAAAUGCGUAGAUAUCGGGAGGAACACCAGUGGCGAAGGCGAUCUUCUGGUCUGUUUCUGACACUCAGACGCGACAGCUAGGGUAGUAAACGGGAUUAGAGACCCCGGUAAUCCUAGCCGUAAACGAUGUGAACUUGGCGUUGGUGGGUUAAACUCCAUCAGUGCCGCAGCAAACGCGAUAAGUUCACCGCCUGGGGACUACGGCCGCAAGGUUA
RNAcentral lists this ribosomal RNA (859 nucleotides) under uncultured bacterium. RNAcentral's name for it is "bacterial SSU rRNA". It matches the Rfam family "Bacterial small subunit ribosomal RNA", at positions 28 to 896 of the family's 1533-position model. The record is from RNAcentral.